RNAcentral lists this ribosomal RNA (497 nucleotides) under uncultured bacterium. RNAcentral describes it as "partial 16S ribosomal RNA". It matches the Rfam family "Bacterial small subunit ribosomal RNA", at positions 28 to 507 of the family's 1533-position model. The record is from RNAcentral.
GACGAACGCUGGCGGCGUGCCUAAUACAUGCAAGUUGAGCGCUGAAGGUUGGUACUUGUACCAACUGGAUGAGCAGCGAACGGGUGAGUAACGCGUGGGGAAUCUGCCUUUGAGCGGGGGACAACAUUUGGAAACGAAUGCUAAUACCGCAUAAAAACUUUAAACACAAGUUUUAAGUUUGAAAGAUGCAAUUGCAUCACUCAAAGAUGAUCCCGCGUUGUAUUAGCUAGUUGGUGAGGUAAAGGCUCACCAAGGCGAUGAUACAUAGCCGACCUGAGAGGGUGAUCGGCCACGUUGGGACUGAGACACGGCCCAAACUCCUACGGGAGGCAGCAGUAGGGAAUCUUCGGCAAUGGACGAAAGUCUGACCGAGCAACGCCGCGUGAGUGAAGAAGGUUUUCGGAUCGUAAAACUCUGUUGGUAGAGAAGAGCGUUGGUGAGAGUGGAAAGCUCAUCAAGUGACGGUAACUACCCAGAAAGGGACGGCUAACUACGUG